AGUAAGGUGGCUGAGCUAAGCGGUGGACUGUAAAUCCUCUCACGGAUUUCCCCUUACUG
RNAcentral lists this transfer RNA (59 nucleotides) under Sphaeroma serratum. RNAcentral's name for it is "tRNA-Tyr". The record is from RNAcentral. Lineage: Eukaryota; Metazoa; Arthropoda; Malacostraca; Isopoda; Sphaeromatidae.